This is a non-coding RNA of Myotis lucifugus (little brown bat), 76 nucleotides long. The record is from Rfam. Lineage: Eukaryota; Metazoa; Chordata; Mammalia; Chiroptera; Vespertilionidae.
GGCAGUUCUUGGGUGACACACCCUGGAAUUGGGCUCCCUCCUCUCUGGUUCUGGGUGUGUCACCUGAGAACCUGCC